UUUGAUGGAGCAACGCCGCGUGAGUGAAGAAGGGUUUCGGAUCGUAAAACUCUGUUGUUAAAGAAGAACAUAUCUGAGAGUAACUGUUCAGGUAUUGACGGUAUUUAACCAGAAAGCCACGGCUAAUUACGUGCCAGCAGCCGCGGUAAUACGUAGGUGGCAAGCGUUGUCCGGAUUUAUUGGGCGUAAAGCGAGCGCAGGCGGUUUUUUAAGUCUGAUGUGAAAGCCUUCGGCUCAACCGAAGAAGUGCAUCGGAAACUGGGAAACUUGAGUGCAGAAGAGGACAGUGGAACUCCAUGUGUAGCGGUGAAAUGCGUAGAUAUAUGGAAGAACACCAGUGGCGAAGGCGGCUGUCUGGUCUGUAACUGACGCUGAGGCUCGAAAGUAUGGGUAGCAAACAGGAUUAGAUACCCUGGUAGUCCAUACCGUAAACGAUGAAUGCUAAGUGUUGGAGGGUUUCCGCCCUUCAGUGCUGCAGCUAACGCAUUAAGCAUUCCGCCUGGGGAGUACGGCCGCAAGGCUGAAACUCAAAGGAAUUGACGGGGGCCCGCACAAGCGGUGGAGCAUGUGGUUUAAUUCGAAGCUACGCGAAGAACCUUACCAGGUCUUGACAUACUAUGCAAAUCUAAGAGAUUAGACGUUCCCUUCGGGGACAUGGAUACAGGUGGUGCAUGGUUGUCGUCAGCUCGUGUCGUGAGAUGUUGGGUUAAGUCCCGCAACGAGCGCAACCCUUAUUAUCAGUUGCCAGCAUUAAGUUGGGCACUCUGGUGAGACUGCCGGUGACAAACCGGAGGAAGGUGGGGAUGACGUCAAAUCAUCAUGCCCCUUAUGACCUGGGCUACACACGUGCUACAAUGGAUGGUACAACGAGUUGCGAACUCGCGAGAGUAAGCUAAUCUCUUAAAGCCAUUCUCAGUUCGGAUUGUAGGCUGCAACUCGCCUACAUGAAGUCGGAAUCGCUAGUAAUCGCGGAUCAGCAUGCCGCGGUGAAUACGUUCCCGGGCCUUGUACACACCUCCCGUCUACACCGUGAGAGUUAUAUCGUCAUAAUGUCUCUGGGAAUAUCGUAGCCUGC
Molecule: ribosomal RNA, 1075 nt
Filed under: Lactiplantibacillus plantarum subsp. plantarum
Lineage: Bacteria; Bacillati; Bacillota; Bacilli; Lactobacillales; Lactobacillaceae
Description: bacterial SSU rRNA
Rfam family: Bacterial small subunit ribosomal RNA
Source: RNAcentral